AACUUUUAACAAUGGAUCUCUAGGCUCUCAUAUCGAUGAAGAACACAGUGAAAUGUGAUAAGUAAUGUGAAUUGCAGAAUUCAGUGAAUCAUUGAAUCUUUGAACGCCCCUUGCACCUUUUGGUAUUCCAAAAGGUAUGCCUGUUUGAGUGUCAUGAAAAUCUCUCAUCAAAUUAAUUUUUGGUGGAUGUUG
This 192-nucleotide ribosomal RNA is filed under the name Uromyces sp. H92014. Its description in RNAcentral is "5.8S rRNA". The stretch from base 1 to 154 matches the Rfam family "5.8S ribosomal RNA". Rfam says of the family: 5.8S ribosomal RNA (5.8S rRNA) is a component of the large subunit of the eukaryotic ribosome. The record is from RNAcentral. Lineage: Eukaryota; Fungi; Basidiomycota; Pucciniomycetes; Pucciniales; Pucciniaceae.